Molecule: long non-coding RNA, 444 nt
Organism: Manis pentadactyla (Chinese pangolin)
Lineage: Eukaryota; Metazoa; Chordata; Mammalia; Pholidota; Manidae
Exons: 3
Source: RefSeq, a predicted model, not a curated record
AUAUCAGAAGAAUGGAAUCCAGGCAUCAGAAAGUGGGUGGUCAUCUAAGUGUGGACCAAGAUCAACAGGUCCAGACAGAGAGGGGGAACUGGCUCCAUAGAGAACGGACUGUGCCUGAGGACAGUGGACAGGCCAGGGGGAUGCAGAAGAUAAGCAAUAUCUUCAGGAAAAGAGACUUUUUCCCAAAAGUUCCAGAAAAAAAUCCAGAACUGGUGCUUGCUGGCCUGGCUUGGAUCAGGUGCCUAAUCUGUCCUGAUCACUGUGACUUCAACUGGCCAGUCAAAGGUCACCGGCUACCCUGGCGAGAUAUGGGCAGCACCCCCAAGCCACAUGGUCUGAGCAUGGAAUAUCUGGGUUGUAUGGCCAGCCAUGUGACUUUCCUGAAGACAGAACCAAACAGCCUGAUACAAAAAUGCUCAAAUGCUAAUAAAUCUCCAUGUUGGU